Molecule: microRNA, 23 nt
Filed under: Pongo pygmaeus (Bornean orangutan)
Lineage: Eukaryota; Metazoa; Chordata; Mammalia; Primates; Hominidae
Description: ppy-miR-615-5p
Gene: ppy-miR-615-5p
Source: miRBase by way of RNAcentral
GGGGGUUCCCCGGUGCUCGGAUC